AUCCUGCUGACGAGUCUCAAAUAGGACGAAACGCGCGUCCUGGAC
Molecule: non-coding RNA, 45 nt
Filed under: Schistosoma mansoni
Lineage: Eukaryota; Metazoa; Platyhelminthes; Trematoda; Strigeidida; Schistosomatidae
Source: RNAcentral